CCUACGGGAGGCAGCAGUGAGGAAUAUUGGGCAAUGGGCGCGAGCCUGAACCAGCCAAGCCGCGUGAAGGAUGACUGCUCUACGGGUUGUAAAUUUCUUUAUAAAGGACUAAAGUGAGGCACGUGUGCCUUUAUGUAUGUACUUUAUGAAGAAGGAGCGGCUAACUCCGUGCGAGCAGCCGCGGUAAUACGGAGGAUGCGAGCGUUUUCCGGAUUUAUUGGGUUUAAAGGGAGCGUAGGUGGGUUGUUAAGUUAGUUGUGAAAGUUUGUGGCUUAACCGUAAAAUUGCAAAUGAUACUGGGCGUCUUGAGUACAGGUGAGGUAAGCGGAAUUCCUGGUGUAGCGGUGAAAUGCGUAGAUAUCACGAAGAACACCGGUUGCGAAGGCAGCUUACUAGACUGCAACUGACAUUGAUGCUCGAAAGUGUGGGUAUCAAACAGGAUUAGAUACCCGUGUAGUC
This 459-nucleotide ribosomal RNA is filed under the name uncultured bacterium. Its description in RNAcentral is "partial 16S ribosomal RNA". It matches the Rfam family "Bacterial small subunit ribosomal RNA", at positions 338 to 795 of the family's 1533-position model. The record is from RNAcentral.